ACGGAUUCCGUGCCGCAGCAAACGCAUUAAGUGCCCCGCCUGGGGAGUACGGCCGCAAGGCUAAAACUCAAAGAAAUUGACGGGGGCCCGCACAAGCGGCGGAGCAUGCGGAUUAAUUCGAUGCAACGCGAAGAACCUUACCAAGGCUUGACAUACACCGGAAACGUGCAGAGAUGUGCGCCCCGCAAGGUCGGUGUACAGGUGGUGCAUGGUUGUCGUCAGCUCGUGUCGUGAGAUGUUGGGUUAAGUCCCGCAACGAGCGCAACCCUCGUCCCAUGUUGCCAGCGGGUUAUGCCGGGGACUCAUGGGAGACUGCCGGGGUCAACUCGGAGGAAGGUGGGGAUGACGUCAAAUCAUCAUGCCCCUUAUGUCUUGGGCUUCACGCAUGCUACAAUGGCCGGUACAAAGGGCUGCGAUACCGCGAGGUGGAGCGAAUCCCAAAAAGCCGGUCUCAGUUCGGAUUGGGGUCUGCAACUCGACCCCAUGAAGUCGGAGUCGCUAGUAAUCGCAGAUCAGCAACGCUGCGGUGAAUACGUUCCCGGGCCUUGUACACACCGCCCGUCAAGUCAUGAAAGUCGGUAACACCCGAAGCCGAUGGCCCAACCGCAAGGGGGGAGUCGUCGAAGGUGGGACUGGCGAUUAGGACUAAGUCG
RNAcentral lists this ribosomal RNA (653 nucleotides) under Cellulomonas flavigena. RNAcentral describes it as "bacterial SSU rRNA". It matches the Rfam family "Bacterial small subunit ribosomal RNA", at positions 834 to 1488 of the family's 1533-position model. Lineage: Bacteria; Bacillati; Actinomycetota; Actinomycetes; Micrococcales; Cellulomonadaceae. The record is from RNAcentral.